Molecule: ribosomal RNA, 497 nt
Filed under: uncultured bacterium
Lineage: Bacteria
Description: partial 16S ribosomal RNA
Rfam family: Bacterial small subunit ribosomal RNA
Source: RNAcentral
GAUGAACGCUGGCGGCGUGCCUAAUACAUGCAAGUCGAGCGAACAGACGAGGAGCUUGCUCCUCUGACGUUAGCGGCGGACGGGUGAGUAACACGUGGAUAACCUACCUAUAAGACUGGGAUAACUUCGGGAAACCGGAGCUAAUACCGGAUAAUAUAUUGAACCGCAUGGUUCAAUAGUGAAAGACGGUUUUGCUGUCACUUAUAGAUGGAUCCGCGCCGCAUUAGCUAGUUGGUAAGGUAACGGCUUAUCAAGGCAACGAUGCGUAGCCGACCUGAGAGGGUGAUCGGCCACACUGGAACUGAGACACGGUCCAGACUCCUACGGGAGGCAGCAGUAGGGAAUCUUCCGCAAUGGGCGAAAGCCUGACGGAGCAACGCCGCGUGAGUGAUGAAGGUCUUCGGAUCGUAAAACUCUGUUAUUAGUGAAGAACAAAUGUGUAAGUAACUAUGCACGUCUUGACGGUACCUAAUCAGAAAGCCACGGCUAACUACGUG